GACCCGUCUUGAAACACGGACCAAGGAGUUUAACAUGUACGCGAGUCAUUGGGUCGUACGAAACCUAAAGGCGCAGUGAAAGUAAAGACUUGGCCAUCCAAGUUCAGGCACGAUCCCGGAACUGAUGGUCUUCUUGAACACAGUCUGGGCGCAGUGCCGGCUCGUCCCAUGUUUUAUUAAGCGGGGCGACGCAAGAGCGUACAUGUUGAGACCCGAAAGAUGGUGAACUAUGCUUGAGCAGGAUGAAGCCAGAGGAAACUCUGGUGGAAGUCCGUAGCGAUUCUGACGUGCAAAUCGAUCGUCUGACUUGAGUAUAGGGGCGAAAGACUAAUCGAACCAUCUAGUAGCUGGUUCCCUCCGAAGUUUCCCUCAGGAUAGCAGGCACUUGGGAAUCAAACAGUUUUAUCCGGUAAAGCGAAUGAUUAGCAGUAUUGGGGAAGAAAUUUCCUCAACUGAUUCUCAAACUUUAAAUGGGUGAGAAGCUCAACUCUCUUUAUUGGAGUUGUGCAUUGAAUGUGAGUGCCUAGUGGGCCAUUUUUGGUAAGCAGAACUGGCGCUGUGGGAUGAACCAAACGUUUGGUUAAGGAGCCAAACAUAACGCUCAUGAGAAACCACAAAAGGUGUUGGUUGAUUUUGACAGCAGGACGGUGGCCAUGGAAGUCGGAAUCCGCUAAGGAGUGUGU
Molecule: ribosomal RNA, 683 nt
Filed under: Gyratrix environmental sample
Lineage: Eukaryota; Metazoa; Platyhelminthes; Rhabdocoela; Polycystididae
Description: LSU rRNA
Rfam family: Eukaryotic large subunit ribosomal RNA
Source: RNAcentral